Molecule: non-coding RNA, 153 nt
Organism: Caenorhabditis elegans
Lineage: Eukaryota; Metazoa; Nematoda; Chromadorea; Rhabditida; Rhabditidae
Source: Ensembl
GUGUUGGUCUGUAUCUAUCUUUUUCUGUGUGUGCAAAAGAGAAGGGCAGAGUGUAUGAGUGCGCUGCCCCCGAUUCCUACUCCGCCCGCCCUCUCCUCGCGCACUAGGAGAUAGAGCCAGACGGUUAUGAGAAACCGAAAAUGGACCGCCUAC